GCGAACAUAGUUUAACUAAAACAUUAGAUUGUGAUUCUAAUAAUAGGGGUUCAAAUCCUCUUGUUCACC
This 69-nucleotide transfer RNA is filed under the name Johnius carouna. RNAcentral's name for it is "tRNA-His". It matches the Rfam family "tRNA". Rfam says of the family: Transfer RNA (tRNA) molecules are approximately 80 nucleotides in length. Their secondary structure includes four short double-helical elements and three loops (D, anti-codon, and T loops). The record is from RNAcentral. Lineage: Eukaryota; Metazoa; Chordata; Actinopteri; Sciaenidae.